AGCGGCGGAUAGGUGAGUAACACGUGGGGAACCUGCCCCUAAGUCUGGGAUACCAUUUGGAAACAGGUGCUAAUACCGGAUAAUAAAGCAGAUCGCAUGAUCAGCUUUUGAAAGGCGGCGUAAGCUGUCGCUAAGGGAUGGCCCCGCGGUGCAUUAGCUAGUUGGUAAGGUAACGGCUUACCAAGGCGACGAUGCAUAGCCGAGUUGAGAGACUGAUCGGCCACAUUGGGACUGAGAUACGGCCCAAACUCCUACGGGAGGCAGCAGUAGGGAAUCUUCCACAAUGGACGCAAGUCUGAUGGAGCAACGCCGCGUGAGUGAAGAAGGUUUUCGGAUCGUAAAGCUCUGUUGUUGGUGAAGAAGGAUAGAGGUAGUAACUGGCCUUUAUUUGACGGUAAUCAACCAGAAAGUCACGGCUAACUACGUGCCAGCAGCCGCGGUAAUACGUAGGUGGCAAGCGUUGUCCGGAUUUAUUGGGCGUAAAGCGAGCGCAGGCGGAAAAAUAAGUCUAAUGUGAAAGCCCUCGGCUUAACCGAGGAACUGCAUCGGAAACUGUUUUUCUUGAGUGCAGAAGAGGAGAGUGGAACUCCAUGUGUAGCGGUGGAAUGCGUAGAUAUAUGGAAGAACACCAGUGGCGAAAGCGGCUCUCUGGUCUGCAACUGACGCUGAGGCUCGAAAGCAUGGGUAGCGAACAGGAUUAGAUACCCUGGUAGUCCAUGCCGUAACGAUGAGUGCUAAGUGU
This 742-nucleotide ribosomal RNA is filed under the name uncultured bacterium. RNAcentral's name for it is "bacterial SSU rRNA". It matches the Rfam family "Bacterial small subunit ribosomal RNA", at positions 94 to 823 of the family's 1533-position model. The record is from RNAcentral.